Molecule: signal recognition particle RNA, 316 nt
Filed under: Methanobacteriaceae archaeon
Lineage: Archaea; Methanobacteriati; Methanobacteriota; Methanobacteria; Methanobacteriales; Methanobacteriaceae
Also listed under: 1 other name
Description: signal recognition particle sRNA
Rfam family: Archaeal signal recognition particle RNA
Source: RNAcentral
AAAUGGGCUAGACUGGAGGGUCAGGGGUCCUCUGUAAGCGCACAUCCCCUAUACGGCGCGGUCGAAGUUCAAGAGGCGGCAGAUUAACUGUUUAUUGGCCCAGAUGUUCAACGUCGAAACCUCGUCCCGCAGGAUCACUGGUGGGCGGGCUCUGGCUGGAGGGCCAGUGUUAACGUCCUUAACCAGGGGAAUGUGUCAGGUCUGGAAAGAAGCAGCUCUACUCUGGUCAGCUGAUGCUUGUGGAAUAGCGGGGUGGAGUUGGCCUUCUGGAUCACCAAUUCACACGCGGUCUGUCCACUCUUGAACACGCCCACUU